Molecule: transfer RNA, 84 nt
Filed under: Felis catus (domestic cat)
Lineage: Eukaryota; Metazoa; Chordata; Mammalia; Carnivora; Felidae
Rfam family: tRNA
About the family: Transfer RNA (tRNA) molecules are approximately 80 nucleotides in length.
Source: Rfam by way of RNAcentral
CCCUGGGUGGCUCAGUCGGUUGAGUGUCUGACUUCAGCUCAGGUCAUGUUCUCAGGUUCAUGGGUUCAAGUCCCACUUUGGGCU